RNAcentral lists this ribosomal RNA (253 nucleotides) under uncultured bacterium. RNAcentral's name for it is "partial 16S ribosomal RNA". It matches the Rfam family "Bacterial small subunit ribosomal RNA", at positions 524 to 776 of the family's 1533-position model. The record is from RNAcentral.
UACGCAGGCAGCGAGCGUUGUUCGGAAUUACUGGGCGUAAAGAGUGUGUAGGCGGUGUUCCCAGUCUGUUGUGAAAUCUCCCGGCUUAACUGGGAGGGUGCAGCGGAAACUAGAAUGCUAGAGGGUGGGAGAGGUAAGCGGAAUUCCUGGUGUAGCGGUGAAAUGCGUAGAUAUCAGGAGGAACACCUGUGGUGUAGACAGCUUACUGGACCACUUCUGACGCUGAGACACGAAAGCGUGGGUAGCAAACAGG